Molecule: ribosomal RNA, 496 nt
Filed under: uncultured bacterium
Lineage: Bacteria
Description: partial 16S ribosomal RNA
Rfam family: Bacterial small subunit ribosomal RNA
Source: RNAcentral
AUGAACGCUGGCGGCGUGCCUAAUCCCUGCCAGUCGAGCGAACAGACGAGGAGCUUGCUCCUCUGACGUUAGCGGCGGACGGGUGAGUAACACGUGGAUAACCUACCUAUAAGACUGGGAUAACUUCGGGAAACCGGAGCUAAUACCGGAUAAUAUAUUGAACCGCAUGGUUCAAUAGUGAAAGACGGUUUUGCUGUCACUUAUAGAUGGAUCCGCGCCGCAUUAGCUAGUUGGUAAGGUAACGGCUUACCAAGGCGACGAUGCGUAGCCGACCUGAGAGGGUGAUCGGCCACACUGGAACUGAGACACGGUCCAGACUCCUACGGGAGGCAGCAGUAGGGAAUCUUCCGCAAAGGGCGAAAGCCUGACGGAGCAACGCCGCGUGAGUGAUGAAGGUCUUCGGAUCGUAAAACUCUGUUAUUAGGGAAGAACAAAUGUGUAAGUAACUAUGCACGUCUUGACGGUACCUAAUCAGAAAGCCACGGCUAACUACGUG